This 257-nucleotide ribosomal RNA is filed under the name uncultured Funneliformis. Its description in RNAcentral is "partial large subunit ribosomal RNA". It matches the Rfam family "Eukaryotic large subunit ribosomal RNA", at positions 359 to 631 of the family's 3401-position model. The record is from RNAcentral. Lineage: Eukaryota; Fungi; Glomeromycota; Glomeromycetes; Glomerales; Glomeraceae.
GAAAGAUGAAAAGAACUUUGAAAAGAGAGUUAAACAGUACGUGAAAUUGUUGAAAGGGAAACGAUUGAAGUCAGUCAUACCAACGGGAAAUCAACCUCUUGAGCUCGGUCUCGUGGGUUUUGAAGAGUUUCAAAGCCUUCGGAUUCGCGAGAUUGGGAUCUCUUGGUGUACUUUUUCGUACGGUUAGUCAACAUCGGUUUUGAAUGUCAUAAAAUGACUGGAGGAAUGUAGCUUCGAUCUUGUAUUGAAGUGUUAUA